CCAUCAUCAGCUCCAAGUACUUUGAUCACCAAAAACCAUGUCACUGCCAUAGUCUCAAGCAUGUCUGAAAGUACAACACAGAGGUCUUUGGAUGAUACCACAAGACAAAGGGUUUUUCGAUAUAACUUAUCUUGCCAUUCUCUAUUGCUGUACCCAUAGCUCAGUGGUUUCAAACCCAGUCUUCAAAUACCCCCUAAUAGUC
Pelobates cultripes (western spadefoot toad) is the source of this 202-nucleotide non-coding RNA. NCBI's taxonomy places the organism in Eukaryota, Metazoa, Chordata, Amphibia, Anura, Pelobatidae. The record is from the annotation of a GenBank genome assembly.